Molecule: non-coding RNA, 125 nt
Organism: Triticum urartu
Lineage: Eukaryota; Viridiplantae; Streptophyta; Magnoliopsida; Poales; Poaceae
Source: Rfam
CAAAUACUCCCUCUGUCCCAAAUUACUUGCCGCAAAAUUGGAUAAAAAUGGAUGUAUCUAGAAUUAAAAUAUGUCUAAAUACAUCCAUUUCUGCAACAAGUAAUUUCCGACGGAGGGAGUAUGCU